UAGUUGGAUAUAAUUUGUAGUUGCAGCCUG
RNAcentral lists this non-coding RNA (30 nucleotides) under Mus musculus (house mouse). Lineage: Eukaryota; Metazoa; Chordata; Mammalia; Rodentia; Muridae. The record is from RNAcentral.